GUAUCGGAAGAUGUACCUGGAAAGCGGACUAGAGCUUGAAUGAAGUAUUUUAUUUACAUUACAAUGGGAAAUCGUGUGAUUCGAUUUAGUUUGAGUUAACAGAAUUAUUAUAGUUCUAUUAUGAGAGGUAUCUCUAUGUAUUUAGUAUAUCGGUAGGAAGAAUUAAGAAUAUUAUAGUUGAUUAUUACUGUAAAAGGAUUUUUUAAAACGGGGAAAAGAAUACUUUAUUUGUGGUACCUUGUGUAUCAGGGUUGAUUAAAUUUUCUGUUUUUAUGGAGGUGUCCCGAAUUUAGAUGGGCCAGGAUAGUAUUAAUUUUAGUGUGGAAAAAUUAUUUAUAAUAUUAUUCUAGGUGUGAAAUUUUAGUCGUCUCUGAUGAUAUCUGGUUUCUUUAGAAAUAAAUUUAAUUUAGAUGAAUGGGAGAAAAUUAUUAGUUAUUAUUUUAUUCUUUGUUUUAUUUAUGUUCUUAGGGAUAAGCUUGGGGACAAAAUUUUAAAAUUUAUUAAUUAGGCUAGGUUAAUAGGAUUAGAAGAGUUUAUUUUGGAGUUAGUUAUAUAAGACCUAGAAUAGAUAGGAUUUUAUAAAGUUUAAGUUUUUUAUAGAGAAGGCCAUAUUAAUAAGGUGUGGUGCUAUUAUGAUUAAAUUAGUAUAUUUAGUGUAUAUAUGUGUUGUUUGGGAAGGUUAUAUUAAGGAACUCGGCAAAUGGGUUUCCUGCCUGUUUAUUAAAAACAUGUCCUUUUGUGAUAAUUUAAGGUCUGGCCUGCCCAAUGAUUAUUUAAUGGCCGCAGUAUUUUGACUGUGCAAAGGUAGCAUAAUCAUUAGUUUUUUAAUUGAAAGCUGGAAUGAAAGGUUUGACAAGGAAACAACUGUCUCAAUAUAAUUUUUAUAGAAUUUUAUUUUUUAGUGAGAAAGCUUAAAUAGAAAUGGGGGACGAGAAGACCCUAUAGAAUUUGAUAUAUAAUUAGGGCUAUCUUUUUUGGAAAGGUUAUGGUUUGGGUUAGGUAU
RNAcentral lists this ribosomal RNA (1003 nucleotides) under Figulus sp. NLG-2014. RNAcentral's name for it is "partial 16S ribosomal RNA". The stretch from base 705 to 862 matches the Rfam family "Archaeal large subunit ribosomal RNA", at positions 1883 to 2090 of the family's 2987-position model. The record is from RNAcentral. Lineage: Eukaryota; Metazoa; Arthropoda; Insecta; Coleoptera; Lucanidae.